UUCAUGCUUGAGGCUCUCAAUAUCCUAUAAAAAUGCAUGCGUGAAGAUUAAUCAAGUAACUUAUUACGAAGUAAUUCAAAAAAAAAAAAGUAGAGCGAAAAAGAAUUUGUAUAGUACAUUCUGUCGAAGUCUAAUAGUGAUACAAUUAGGUUGUCAGACUGUGCACAAUUGGUUUCAAAACAAGUUAUAAGGUGGCUAUAUAAAUGUGAAGAGAAUUUUCAAUUGAAUAAGCUAUUGUUUUAAGACUAAGUAUGAAAAGAAAACUACCUGGCCUGCCCAACCAUCAACAACAAAAACAUCCAAUGAAUAUCCAUCCAAUGUGGAAAAGGCAUGUGCUUCUUGAAUGUUCAGCCCAAUCUCAGAGAGUAAGGUAGUCAACUGUAAUCUCAGUACCAUUAUAAAUUACUGUGAUGCCUUGUAAUUAUUACGAACAUUACCAUAAUAUGUAGGAAAAAUAUUACAGAGAAAUGUUUGUACAGAAAAUAAUAAGAUUUG
Molecule: long non-coding RNA, 495 nt
Filed under: Medicago truncatula (barrel medic)
Lineage: Eukaryota; Viridiplantae; Streptophyta; Magnoliopsida; Fabales; Fabaceae
Description: long non-coding RNA (MTRU_LNC000003)
Source: RNAcentral